CCAAUAGCGUAUAUUAAAGUUGUUGCAGUUAAAAAGCUCGUAGUUGAAUUUCGGGAUUGACACAUCGGUCGUGCCUUAAGGGGUAUGAACUGGUGUAGUCAAUUUCUCACCUUCUGGAGAACCGCGAUGCCCUUAAUUGGGUGCCACGGGGAACCAGGACCUUUACUUUGAAAAAAUUAGAGUGUUUAAAGCAGGCAUUUUGCUUGAAUACAUUAGCAUGGAAUAAUAAAAUAGGACGGCAUGAUUCUAUUUUGUUGGUUUCUAGGAUCACCGUAAUGAUUAAUAGGGAUAGUUGGGGGCAUUAGUAUUCAAUUGUCAGAGGUGAAAUUCUUGGAUUUAUUGAAGACUAACUACUGCGAAAGCAUUUGCCAAGGAUGUUUUCAUUAAUCAAGAACGAAAGUUAGGGGAUCGAAGACGAUCAGAUACCGUCGUAGUCUUAACCAUAAACUAUGCCGACUAGGAAUCAGACGAUGUUAAUUUUUUAAUGACUCGUUUGGCACCUUACG
This 506-nucleotide non-coding RNA is filed under the name uncultured Glomeromycotina. RNAcentral's name for it is "partial small subunit ribosomal RNA". It matches the Rfam family "Eukaryotic small subunit ribosomal RNA", at positions 591 to 1092 of the family's 1831-position model. Lineage: Eukaryota; Fungi; Glomeromycota. The record is from RNAcentral. RNAcentral also lists the same sequence under 1 other name.